GGGAUUCUUCUGCUCGGGUCUCCUCCUCACGAGCGCCGUCGGCGACGUACGCGAUGUGCGGUUGCGGCAGCGGCGCGCCGAGGCGGCGGUGGAGGCUCCUGAACUACGGGCUGCGGAUCAGGCCGCCGGGGUGCUUCGAGAGCGCCGUGCACGCGACCGCGGUGCGGGCCGGCAGGCGGGCGAGGAUGUUGCGGACGACAUCGUCGGGAACGCUGCUUGCUGCGCCUGACGCUCCAGCAUCGACGGCCGCCGUC
RNAcentral lists this long non-coding RNA (254 nucleotides) under Setaria italica (foxtail millet). Its description in RNAcentral is "long non-coding RNA (SITA_LNC005404)". Lineage: Eukaryota; Viridiplantae; Streptophyta; Magnoliopsida; Poales; Poaceae. The record is from RNAcentral.